CAGUAAACCAUUCCAAUAUAGUCACAAGAAAAACUUCUCAAACUUUUAAAACAAGCAGAAUAAGUAAUUAGUGCUUGCCAUUGCAAACAUUUGACUUAAUGACCUCCAAUUUAACAACACAACCUUUGGUACUCCAUGGGCAACAACUCGACUAAAUCUGUAGUUGACGUCAACUGGACUAAAUCUAUAGCAGUUGGCAUCAUAUACUAACUACAGUUUACACACAAACUUGCAUAUAACAUUGCUCUAUUGACAACACAUGGUCACAAAUCUAUUUCUUUUAAAGUUGAUGUUCCUGUCAUUCCAUCUCCACCCAAUGAGGACUUCAUCACUACCAAGGAAAAAAAAUGUGACCAGAUUAGGAGCUUAGUAACAAGUAACAUGGAUUAAAUUGUAGAAAGCAGAAUUAUAUUAAUUGAAGCUAAAUCAUCUGAGCUAGCUUGCUAAAAGCCCCUCUAGUAACAACACAUGAGAUGAAUGACAAUAGUAAACAACACUCUACCUCACAACACCUCCCUGUGACAGUAGUGAAAACUUAGUACUAUAAACUCAUCUAGGCCCCGUCCGUUAUGAUUUAACUGGUAUUAAUUGCUACUGAUUGAUCGGAAAGCACUUCGAGCUUCAUUAUCUCUAGAGCUGUUCCCUUUUUCUAAGCCGAUCUUGUCAUUAACCUGCAAGGCUCUUCUUUAAAUGUUGAAGUAGGGUAUGUUUCUUCAUUCUCCGCCGCCUUUAGUUUUAGGUUUUAGUUCCAAACUAUAAGGACAUUGAGGAGACAAUCCUCCUUAUUCUACCCGCAUACAGCUUUUUAGGACAUCGAUUUCAAUAUUACCUGCUUAAAUGUUAAUACUGAAAUGAUUCCACGCACUCCCCCCCUCUGACCUUGUGCAAAGCUGCCUAAGCUAUUCAUGUUGGUCAUUAGAAGAAAAUUUAGCUAACAAAUUUGGUAAUAAAGAGAAGGUGCACUCUAUGUUUCCUUCUCUAACCUUGUGCACAAAUUGCCUCAUGUACUCGUUGAUCAUUAGAAAUUUAGCUAACAAAUUUGAACCAAGCAUUCAAGCUUUCUACCUUCAUGCUGACAACUUUGAUCGAAUAUGUUUAGUUUAUUUUUCUCAUAUAUAUCUUUUCUACCUUCAUGCUGACAACUCCUUGUAUGGCCAGCAUGAUCAUUUGCCUCAAUCAAAACAUAUCGUGGAU
Molecule: long non-coding RNA, 1194 nt
Filed under: Oryza sativa (Asian cultivated rice)
Lineage: Eukaryota; Viridiplantae; Streptophyta; Magnoliopsida; Poales; Poaceae
Description: long non-coding RNA (OSAT_LNC001462)
Source: RNAcentral